RNAcentral lists this transfer RNA (84 nucleotides) under Parcubacteria bacterium DG_74_2. Its description in RNAcentral is "tRNA-Leu". It matches the Rfam family "tRNA". From Rfam's summary of the family: Transfer RNA (tRNA) molecules are approximately 80 nucleotides in length. Their secondary structure includes four short double-helical elements and three loops (D, anti-codon, and T loops). Further hydrogen bonds mediate the characteristic L-shaped molecular structure. tRNAs have two regions of fundamental functional importance: the anti-codon, which is responsible for specific mRNA codon recognition, and the 3' end, to which the tRNAs corresponding amino acid is attached (by aminoacyl-tRNA synthetases). tRNAs cope with the degeneracy of the genetic code in two manners: having more than one tRNA (with a specific anti-codon) for a particular amino acid; and 'wobble' base-pairing, i.e. permitting non-standard base-pairing at the 3rd anti-codon position. The record is from RNAcentral. Lineage: Bacteria; Candidatus Parcubacteria. RNAcentral also lists the same sequence under 1 other name.
GCGGGUAUGGCGGAACAGAAGACGCGCUAGGUUCAGAACCUAGUGGGCAAAUCGCCCGUGGGGGUGCAAAUCCUCCUGCCCGCA